This is a non-coding RNA of Podarcis lilfordi (Lilford's wall lizard), 6598 nucleotides long. Lineage: Eukaryota; Metazoa; Chordata; Lepidosauria; Squamata; Lacertidae. The record is from the annotation of a GenBank genome assembly.
UUUUAGCCCUCUCACUGGUCAGAGCUGAAGUUGUUAUUUACAACUUUAAAAAGAGAUACAACAAAAGGUGAUCUCCAUAGUUGGCAAUUUUAAAUGUUGCUUGUAGAUAGAUAGAGCUAAAAAGUGUUAGGAGAGGCAAUUCAUUUUUAAUUAAAAGGAAACUGAAAGAAAAUAAGAAGAUCAAAGAAUUAAUCAUAAUAAAACAGGGAGAGUAAAUUGUGGACAGAUGCUGGACUUUGAGAAAGCCCCCAAAAGAAAGCUUAGCCAAGAAAAAUUUAAACUGAAAACUCAUAAAAAACCCCAAGAUGAAGAUUUUAAAGAGAAUCAAGAAAAGCAGAUGCACCUGAUGACUAGAUAGGCCAAGGGAAAACAAAGAAACAUUGAACGUCAGGGGCGAAAUCAAGUUUAUUUCCCUUUCAACCAACAAGUCUUUGGAUGUACAAAGGAGCAGAGGAAAGGGUAGGUGGAUAUGAAGCCUGCUUCAAGCCGAGUGAAGAAUAAUUGCAGAAAAUAGAAGGCUUUUCUUUUAAAAGGCAACUGGAGAAGCCAUUUCAUAAAAAGAAGGCUGGCGUUUCUGUUGUUGAAGUGAUUAUUAUGAUUAUUGUUAUUAUUUAUUUAAUUUCUAUACCGCCCUAUACCCGAAGGUCUAAGGGCGGUUCACAUAAAAUAUCAACUGCACCAAAUAAAAACAAAAAGAAUGACCCAAGAACGGGUUCCCAGAGCAGAGACAGCAGGAGUCAGGCUGUCCCUGUCCAGAGAGGGGCGUAGCUGGGCCACCAGCCAAAGCUGAUGGAAGGCACUGGGGGUCACUGAGUGCUUUCCCUUGUCUCUCUAUCAACAGAGGUCAUCGUACAGGGCGACCAAGGCCGUUUCCGUGCCAAAAGCAGGCCUAAACCCUGAUUGAAAUGGACCCAGAAAAGCAGCUUCUUCCAUGAGCACCUGGUUCUGGUCUGCAACCACUCACUCCAGAACCUCGCUCCAGAAGUUGGAAAAACCAAGAUGGGUAAGAUUUUAACACAGGUAAGACUUAGAAUUGAGAAGGGUAGGGGGAUCCAGGGGGAAAGAAAGCUGUGCAUGUGAUAAAGAGCAAAGCAGAGGCGCAGAGGACUACAUAGUUCCAUUUAAUUUCGUGUUAGCUCAGGAUGCCUUGUUGACAAAAAUGCCUUGCAGCCACUUUGUGAUAGCUUCUUAGGGACUAUAGAUAAGCUCCUUCGCUAAUGGGCAGAACUUCCUUUUAUUUCUAAUGGGGCUUCAAAGGAGUAGAAUAACAAACCCUCUGGAGCAGCAGGCUUAACAGUGGUGGCAUUGGGCAUCUGAAGACAAAUGAAUUGUACUUACUGGGCAACUGCAGAAGAGGGUCACCAAAAUAUUGUUGAGUUUUUGUUCCUUCAGAUGUGUAUAAAUCCAGAAGGUUCCAAACAUGCCAGCAUUUUGGAUCCUCACCAGUAAUUCUGUUCCUAAGGGUAUUUAGGUAUUUAGAAUACCCAUUUUAAAAGCUGAUGCAUCAAACUGCUUCCGAUAUCUGUAACAGUUGCCUUGCUGAUUUCAAUGUGAAAAAGCAAAUAAGGCAUUUUGAGGGUGAAUCUACUGAUGGCAAUGGGAGAGGUGGCCUGGGGGAGGCCUUGGAGUGAUUAGAGGUUUUCACCAUUUUGCCGGCCAUUUUUAAGCAAAAAAAGUCCAGCAAACGUUUAAGCACAAACAUAUUCACAAUUAGGAAGGAUGAGCCGUAACCAUUUUUUCCUGUACAUAAAGGGCAGAAAAUGUUGUCUGCUAAUGGGAAGGCUGAAAUGACUGAGAAAAUAUCUGAAAUCUUAUGAAUCCCGACUGGCCAUUUUUACUCAUACAUAAGGGGGUGGCUGAUUGUUCCACUAAUGACCAGAGCAGGGCCACACAAAAUCAUAAUAACCCACAUUUGUGAAACUUUUUGGAAUAGAGGUCUGUACCCUUCAAUCCUGUAGAUAAAGGAGGCAUGUAGCUCCCAAUUCUCUUUGCCUGGGGUACAUGUAUAAUUGUUGAAUGCAGGGAACAUGAUCCAUAAAUGCUGAGACUUUAUUCAAAAUUUAAUUUGACCCAAAUGGUAUUACUGGCUUUUUGGUGAAAACUUGCAUGAUAGGGUUGACAGUUGCUGGUUUUCCAACAAAUACUAAAAUUUGGAUCCUCGCCAGUUCUUCUGUUCCAAAGGUAAUAUAUUUAAAAACCUGGUGUAGCAAACUGCUUCCUUUGCCUGAAACCUCUCACUUGGUUACCUUAGAAUUCUCAGAGGUGGCGAUAGGCACUAAUAACUAACAAGUAAUCUCUAAAUGCUCUAUCGGAAUCAUAGCAGCAAUAAAGUUGUGUGUCUUCUGGCUGAAGGUGAGUAUCUUGUGCUUGGCUGAGGGGAAAAUCUCUAUUGUGUUCUGCCUGCAACUCUUUGUACAAAGAUUCUUUCAGGUCGCAGUGAAGGGGACCAUUCAAGCACCCUGAGCCUGUUGGAGAAAAGGUAGGCUCUAAAUGAAAUCAUACAUCAAAUAUGCAAACUAAAUCUUCCAAAGAGCUUGUAUUUAGCAAUGUUGGUUAUUCAAUCCCUUUUUCAGAAGAGCUGCGAACUCGAAAGCCGAAUGCAGUCGCUCUCCGUACUUCUACCUGGAGGGACUUCUCUUGUCGGGACACCACUGCAGGGGAGGCCCUUUCCUGUGCCAUCACCACACAAUAAGGUACAUCUUUGGGCGGGACAGCCAGCCUUGUUUCGUUCCAGAUCUUUUUUUACAGACCUCACAGAGCUAUCUGUGCCGGAAGCAGAUCUGCUCCAUUGACAAGUAAGAGGCAGUUUCAGAGCUCUUGAUCCAUCAAGUGAACAUCUGCAGUGCAGGAUUGAGAGACGCCUGCGUCUUGACUGCGCUGCUUUAGGUAACUGGCUGUUUUUGCUCCUGUGUCUGGAGGGGAGGGCUGCUGAAGACCCUAGUCUCUUCCAGGUGCAUCUCAGUGACGCAAGAAAUAGAAUUUUGCAAGCCUUCAGGAAAUUUAACGGCAAGUGAACUUCACACUCCACAUUUUAGUGAUCUUUUUCAGUACAAUCCUUUUGUGCUGGCUUCUCCAUUUCCCCCUGCUUGAUCUGUUCACAGUUCUGUCCCAGAGCCCACCACACUCAGGGGAAGCCAGCUCUUCCUGCAGAAGUCAGGUCAGUAAGAACAGCUGGGUUCCAAAAACAUUUCUCUGGAAUUGGCGGGAAAGGGCCAGGGACAAACUAAUGAGUCCAGAUUGCUUUUCACAGACCGGCAGAAGGAACUUCCAGGCCCAUGAAUUCACACUUCAGAGGAACAAACAAAAACGUGAGCAUAAAGGCAGAGUUUGAAGACUGGAACCAGUCUCUCUGUUCUGCCCUGCAAAUUAAUGGCAGUCAACAUGGCACUCUGUGACGUAAACACAUCUAGGUGAAUAUCCCUUGCUCAUGGCAAGGGAUAAAACCUCGAUUGUGUUCUGUCUGCAACUUCAUAAUUCUUAAGGGUUUUCUUUUUUCCUGAGAGAACAUUCUGUAUUCAGAGUGUCCUCUCAGGUUUUGCUUUUCACCUUGUUGCAUUGGCCAAAAAAAAGCAAAAGACGCUGGUGGUUGGCGCUCCUGGUUUCCAGGACGGGGUUCAAGCCCCUGCGGUGUCCCUGCUUACUUCCAAUGCAACCUCUCUCUCUCUCUCUCUCUCUCUCUCUCUCUCUCUCUCUCUCUCUCUCCCCCUUAAGGACUAAAUGAAGCAAAGUGCUCCUCUGAUGCGUCACUGGUGUGUGUCUAAGACAAGGUGGAUGACAUGGAUGCUUCCCAGUCUAGCACACCAAGCCAUAGGGAACAAAAUACUUCUUUUAUAUAUAAAUAUAAAAGACCGUCUCUUAAUUUUUCAUUGUUUGUUUAGGAAGUAACCUACAUAUACAAACAAACGGAUCCUAUUUAGAUUAUGCAGAAUGUGGAAAAGGCUGGGAUAAAAGAGGAAAUGGCAUGACAUUCACUCAUUAGCAGAAGCAGAAGAGCAAAUAUAAGAUGCUCAGGUGUCCAAUUUUCAGAAGACAGUUCUCAAUUUUCAGGGCUAUCAGAGGCUUAAGAUGUGGACAGGUGACAGUCCUCUGUAUGAAGGUGUCCUCUAUUUGAAUGGCCGGGCAUUCCAGGUCUGGCUGAAAGAUACAGAAGGAAGAGCAGCUAAGUCAUACUCGGAGUCACUGAAAUCAAUGGUUCUAGUGACUAUGACUUAGUAGGAGAUAAACCACUAAUAUUUUUACAUGUGCAUCUACACACAGCGUAUGCAAAUUAGUGUCCAUUCCUUUGGCCAAGUGUCAAUGGCCACUCUAAGCAAAGACGUGUCCUAUUUCUGCAAUCGGGGUUAUCUAGGGAUGCAACAUUGUAUGUUCAGUCAGGCCCUUUUGUUUUCUCCUGAUCAGGAGGAAUGCAGUUUGACCCUAAGUAAGUUUACUUUGAAGGAAGUCUGAGUGCUUCCUCAGACUUACUCCCUAGUAAGUGCACGUUGGGAUAGGGCUAUAGCUCUGUUUCAGAGUGCAUGCUUUGUAUGCAGGAGGUGGGGUCCCAGGCAUUUCCAGAUAGGGCUGCUAAGAAAGAUCCUUCCAGAGCUACUGCAAGUCAGGGAUACCCAGGCAUUAGAAGAACUAUCCACCCAGAUCUUCAGGAAGGCCAGAAUUGCAUUUUGCAAUGUUUUCCACUAUGUAGUUUGUGGAAAUUUCUUUCUUUCUUCAGGGCGGUAUGUUGCUGAAGGUAACGGCACACCUUCCUCUGCAGUGAGAAUUCCUACAAACACACCACUCACACUGUAUAUUGGGGAAUGGGAGCACCAAUGACUCACACUUCCUCUUCCAAUUAUUUUAGUGUGUGUAAUUCCCCUUUGAGAAAAUUCCAGUAUUACUGUAUUAGAAUGAAGCGCAUGGGACACUAAAUGUGACACUCAUUUGGUACCAAUGUUCUGGGCCUGGUUACAUGCCACAGAAGUGCUCUGGCCUGGCUGUGUCAGAGCUCCGCAGUCAAAAACCAGGGACUAGAAGCUCUCCCAGAAAUAGUAAACAUAGAAUACAAAAGUGACCUUGAAUAAGAGAGAGUGUCUCUUGUUGGAAAGGCAGGCAGUGUGGGCAUGUGUUUGUGUGUGUGAUUUUCUUGUACAUUUUAUGCUCCUUAUCGCUACCCCCAACAUCAGUGAGCUGAGGAUCCCUUUCCCAUCAUCAUCAUUGGCCCAGAUUGCGCUGGGCUCCCUGGCCCCUGACCCUCAGCCCCGCAAAGAAGGGAUCAGCAAGGAACUGGAUGUGACGGAGGACAUCUUGCAUGUGUGAGUAUUGGCCAGGUGCCCCCUUCUGCAAGAGGCAAGGUGUGUUGGCAAUCGGGGCACAUUUUGGGCUCUGAGUCCAGCCUGCUGGAAGGUCUCCUGCACAAGCAUGGGGCCUCCAGAGUCUGCCUGCCUCCUCCCACUCAGUCGCCCUACAGCUGGGGGGGAGGCAGUGGGUGGACGCUUUGGACGGCACAGAGCCUUGGGCAUGCUGCAGGCCCUGUGCUGAGUGCUGCUCGAUAAUUUGCCCCCCCCCAGUGGUGACAUCUGUGGCAGCCCCAUACCUAGCGCACCCCCUUUCCUCCACCCCUGGCUGCAGGUGGGGUGGCCGGGGGUUCGGGGGGGGGGACUGCCGCCCCAAUCAAGUAAAUAAAUAAAAAAACUUAACUGACCAAUUGUGUCGCAGGUAACUCAAUUCUGCCCCCUCCCCUGGUUGCCAUUUGUCCUCUUUUUCCAGGACACAUCCUCUUUUUCAUGGGUAACAUUUUAAAAAUUUGCCCAAAUGUUUCUGGCUAUACUUUCUGGUUGAGUCCCAGACAAGACUGGUGAUUGAAGACUUGCUUACCCCUUCUCUUCCCCUGCCCCCCUGAGCAAUAUAUCACGGCUUCUAUAGCCUACAUAUAGUAGGAGUAUUUCAAAUGAGAAUCUUCAUAGCGUCAUCUUUUUUGCUCUUCAAAAUAUGGCAACCCUAAUUCCCCCCCACAAAAUAAAUAAAUCCUGGCUACACCCAUGGCAGGUGGUCAUAGCGACAGUGCCAAUUUGUUGAUAUAAUCAAUGAACAAUUACCAUGAACUUAGAAAUUUAUCCUUCUUACCCUGCCCAUUUAUCAACUCAUUGCUGUGUUGAUUUAAACUCCCAGAUAGUGCCAUGUCCCAUACCUGGGUAAAGCCAAGACCGUAAAGUGAGGGCCUCCCCCCAUUUCCCACCUGACAGCUAUUUCCAUUCUGGCAGUGGCUGUCAAAAAAGAGACCAUGAUCAAAGAUGGAAUAUUGGGGUGUUUUUAUCCCCGCCCCCCACCAAGAACCAAAAAAUGUGAGCCACGGAUCCCUGUUUAUAACCAAUUACGAUGGAGAUUUAUUUAUUUGUUUGUUUAUUUAGCUAGCUCGCUAGCCAAAAUGGUACACAAGUGUUUUUACACCAUUUGUUCCCUACUGGGAUGGGGCUUUGCAAAUGCAAUAGAGAGACAAGUAACCAGCCCCCCCCCCCUUCUUGGCAGGCCCGUUCACACAACAUGUGCAUGGUUGGUCCUUAAUGCAGGAGCCGGGAAGCUGUGACCCUCCAGACGCUGGAAGCCAACUCUCAUCAUCAGCCCC